RNAcentral lists this small nucleolar RNA (78 nucleotides) under Dichanthelium oligosanthes. Lineage: Eukaryota; Viridiplantae; Streptophyta; Magnoliopsida; Poales; Poaceae. The record is from RNAcentral.
GCCAAAUGAUGCGAAACAAAUUAUUACUGAGGUUUUCUUUGAGGACUUACAAAAUUGAGCUUUUUAAAACUGUUGGUU